ACCGCGCGCGCUCUCUCAGUCUCUCCUUCUCUUGUGGCCACGACGAGCGACAUUCGCUACUCGCUACCGUCCUACGCCAGGUGCCCCAGGUCUUCUUCGGUUCCUUCGCCGGCGACGAACGCUACCAGGUACGCGCACCCUUUGUCUUCCCUUCCCUGCUGUGCGAAACCCUGCACCCAAACCCUGUACUCGGAUCUGAUAUAAUUACAGUGUAGACAUGUAAAUGGCUGCCCACUGCACUACUGCUUGAUUGGCUGGUUGCUGCUCUCUGCAAUUUGGGCUGCUCUCUGAUUGAUUCGGUAUUGUAGAUUGCUGAGAACUCAAUGUUUGAUUUCUAAUUGUGCAGAUUAGACUU
Molecule: long non-coding RNA, 355 nt
Filed under: Zea mays
Lineage: Eukaryota; Viridiplantae; Streptophyta; Magnoliopsida; Poales; Poaceae
Description: long non-coding RNA (ZMAY_LNC003873)
Source: RNAcentral